UACCCUUGUCUUUUGCGCACUUGUUGUUUCCUGGGCGGGUUCGCUCGCCACCAGGACCACAAUAUAAACCUUUUUUAUGCAGUUGCAAUCAGCGUCAGUAUAACAAAUGUAAAUCAUUUACAACUUUCAACAACGGAUCUCUUGGUUCUGGCAUCGAUGAAGAACGCAGCGAAAUGCGAUACGUAGUGUGAAUUGCAGAAUUCAGUGAAUCAUCGAAUCUUUGAACGCACAUUGCGCCCUUUGGUAUUCCAAAGGGCAUGCCUGUUCGAGCGUCAUUUGUACCCUCAAGCUUUGCUUGGUGUUGGGCGUUUUUGUCUUUGGCCCGCCAAAGACUCGCCUUAAAAUGAUUGGCAGCCGGCCUACUGGUUUCGCAGCGCAGCACAUUUUUGCGCUUGCAAUCAGCAAAAGAGGACGGCAAUCCAUCAAGACUCCUUCUCACGUUUGACCUCGGAUCAGGUAGGGAUACCCGCUGAACUUAAGCAUAUCAAAAGCCGGGAGGAAA
This 502-nucleotide ribosomal RNA is filed under the name Curvularia spicifera. RNAcentral's name for it is "eukaryotic LSU rRNA". The stretch from base 122 to 275 matches the Rfam family "5.8S ribosomal RNA". Lineage: Eukaryota; Fungi; Ascomycota; Dothideomycetes; Pleosporales; Pleosporaceae. The record is from RNAcentral.